UACGUAGGGUGCAGGCGUUAAUCGGAAUUACUGGGCGUAAAGCGUGCGCAGGCGGUUUUUUAAGUCAGAUGUGAAAUCCCCGGGCUUAACCUGGGAACUGCGUUUGAAACUGGGAGACUUGAGUGUGGCAGAGGAAGGUGGAAUUCCACGUGUAGCGGUGAAAUACGUAGAGAUGUGGAGGAACACCGAUGGCGAAGGCAGCCUUCUGGGCCGACACUGACGCUCAUGCACGAAAGCGUGGGGAGCAAACAGG
This 253-nucleotide ribosomal RNA is filed under the name uncultured bacterium. RNAcentral's name for it is "partial 16S ribosomal RNA". It matches the Rfam family "Bacterial small subunit ribosomal RNA", at positions 524 to 776 of the family's 1533-position model. The record is from RNAcentral.